UGGGGAAUCUUGCGCAAUGGGGGCAACCCUGAUGCAGCGACGCCGCGUGAGCGAUGAAGCCCUUCGGGGCGUAAAGCUCUUUCGACCGGAACGAUAAUGACGGUACCGGGAGAAGAAGCUGCGGCUAACUACGUGCCAGCAGCCGCGGUAAUACGUAGGCAGCAAGCGUUGUUCGGAGUUACUGGGCGUAAAGAGUGCGUAGGCGGUUUUCUAAGUUCGGUGUGAAAUCUCCCGGCUUAACUGGGAGGGUGCGCCGAAGACUGGGAAGCUGGAGUGUGGGAAAGGCAGGCGGAAUUCCUGGUGUAGCGGUGAAAUGAGUAGAUAUCAGGAGGAACACCGGCGGUGUAGACGGCUUGCUAGACCAUAACUGACGCUGAGGCACGAAAGCGUGGGUAGCAAACA
Molecule: ribosomal RNA, 402 nt
Filed under: uncultured bacterium
Lineage: Bacteria
Description: bacterial SSU rRNA
Rfam family: Bacterial small subunit ribosomal RNA
Source: RNAcentral